RNAcentral lists this long non-coding RNA (1248 nucleotides) under Phoenix dactylifera (date palm). RNAcentral describes it as "long non-coding RNA (PDAC_LNC005995)". Lineage: Eukaryota; Viridiplantae; Streptophyta; Magnoliopsida; Arecales; Arecaceae. The record is from RNAcentral.
AACAGCGUCCAUAAUGGCUGAACUGGGCUCAAGUUUGGCCCACAAUGGGCACGAUCCAAUUGGGCCCAAAAUGGCUGAACUCGGCCCAUAUUUAGCCCACAAUGGGUACGGCCCAACAAGGCUUAAGAUGGUUGAACUAGGCCCAAGUUUGGCCUACAAUGGGUAUGGCCCAACAAGCCAAGAUGGAUGAACUAGGCCCAAGUUUGGCCCACAAUGGUCACGGCCCGAUAGGGCCCAAGAUGGAUGAACUGAGCCCUAGUUUAGCCCACAAUAGGCACGGCCCAACAGGGCCUAAUAUGGUUGAUAUGGGCCAAAGUUUGGCUCACAAUGGGCACGGCCCAAUAGGGCCCAAACUUGGCCCAACAAGUGAUCUUCAUCCCAAGAGAUAUUCAACAGGGAGGAAAGGAGUGGAAAGAGGGAAGAGUGAUCAAAGCAAAGAGGGGAGGAGAGGAUCCAGCUGCGACUGGCCUGGGUGGCCGACGGCCAACCGUCGGUGGUAGUAGUGGCUGCUGGUAGCUGCGACGGCCGGCGAGAAGAAGAAAACCGAGUGCGGAGACGAUGGAGCAGAGAAAGGAGGCUCAGUUUUGGGUCGGAAUAGGAAAAUAGAGGGGAGGAGACUUACCAACGAGCAACGGAGAGGAUGGAUCUAGGUAGCUAGUCCAGUAGUCAAGCAGUAGAUCUCGCGACGGCGGUGGCAACAACUCCUGAUGGAAAAUGGAUCUCAGAAUAGUGGAAGCGGGGGGAAAUCAAAGAAAAUCCAGAGAAAGAAUGGAGAACCAGGGUGGCGAAGCUCGAAUUCGGCGACAUGAUUGCCACCGGACAUGAGGAAGAAGGAAGGAAUGCUCGGUUGUGGAUUAACCACAGAGGAGGAGGGGUUUUAUAGAGAGGGUUUUCGAACGGCUUGGCUCGAUCACUGCCACGAUUCUUGCAACGGUCGAAUGGGAUCGGCGGCCGUUCAAGCAACCACGGGGUAGCCGCGGAACGGCAGCGACGCCUUCGCUCCCAGUCACGCCGAGGAAGAGGAUGGCGAUCGCGAUCUUCUAUCCCUCCUCUUCCUUGUCCAUGGGCUGAUGUCGGCUAGGCCUGCCGACUUCAGUCCAAUAAGGCCCAGUAAGGCUCUUUCAAGGCCUAUUAUUAUCGGUGUAAUUUUGAAUAUUAGGUAUGAAGAUAAUUUUUCGAGUUAGUUAGUUUAGUUACUAAUUGCCUUGUAAGGAAAGUAAUGUAAUACCUUUUUCUAGAUUUUUCAAC